CCUACGGGGGGCAGCAGUGGGGAAUAUUGGACAAUGGGCGCAAGCCUGAUCCAGCAAUGCCGCGUGUGUGAAGAAGGCCUGCGGGUUGUAAAGCACUUUAAGCAGGAAAGAAGGGCUGAGCGAUAAUACCGUUUCGCAUUGACGUUACCUACAGAAUAAGCACCGGCUAACUCCGUGCCAGCAGCCGCGGUAAUACGGAGGGUGCGAGCGUUAAUCGGAAUUACUGGGCGUAAAGCGCGAGUCGGCGGUGAAAGCCCUGGGCUUAACCUGGGAACUGCGGUGGAUACUGUCGGGCUAGAGUGUGGUAGAGGGGAGUGGAAUUUCCGGUGUAGCAGUGAAAUGCGUAGAGAUCGGAAGGAACACCAGUGGCGAAGGCGGCUUCCUGGACCAACACUGACGCUGAGGUGCGAAAGCGUGGGGAGCAAACAGGAUUAGAUACCCGUGUAGUC
RNAcentral lists this ribosomal RNA (449 nucleotides) under uncultured bacterium. RNAcentral describes it as "partial 16S ribosomal RNA". It matches the Rfam family "Bacterial small subunit ribosomal RNA", at positions 338 to 795 of the family's 1533-position model. The record is from RNAcentral.